CGAACGGGGAGCAGCCCAGAGUCUUAAUCAGCAUUAGCAUCAGGAGAACGGUCUGGAAAGUCCGGCAGUAAAGGGUGAUAGCCCCGUAUCCGAAGGUGUUAGUGUUGUGAACUCGACGAGUAGGGCGGGACACGUGUUAUCCUGUCUGAAUAUGGGGGGACCAUCCUCCAAGGCUAAAUACUCCUGAUUGACCGAUAGUGAACCAGUACCGUGAGGGAAAGGCGAAAAGAACCCCGGCGAGGGGAGUGAAAUAGAACCUGAAACCGUGUACGUACAAGCAGUGGGAGCCUUGAUUUAUCAGGGUGACUGCGUACCUUUUGUAUAAUGGGUCAGCGACUUAUAUUCUGUAGCAAGGUUAACCGAAUAGGGGAGCCGUAGGGAAACCGAGUCUUAACUGGGCGAAUAAGUUGCAGGGUAUAGACCCGAAACCCGGUGAUCUAGCCAUGGGCAGGUUGAAGGUUGGGUAACACUAACUGGAGGACCGAACCGACUAAUGUUGAAAAAUUAGCGGAUGACUUGUGGCUGGGGGUGAAAGGCCAAUCAAACCGGGAGAUAGCUGGUUCUCCCCGAAAGCUAUUUAGGUAGCGCCUCGUGGCGCCUCGUG
Molecule: ribosomal RNA, 604 nt
Filed under: Providencia rettgeri
Lineage: Bacteria; Pseudomonadati; Pseudomonadota; Gammaproteobacteria; Enterobacterales; Morganellaceae
Description: partial 23S ribosomal RNA
Rfam family: Bacterial large subunit ribosomal RNA
Source: RNAcentral